GGACCUGUAGCUUAGUUGGUUGAAGCUCCCGGCUCAUAACCGGGCGGUCGUGGGUUCAAGUCCCUCCGGGUCCA
This 74-nucleotide transfer RNA is filed under the name Candidatus Poseidoniales archaeon. RNAcentral describes it as "Marine Group II euryarchaeote tRNA-Met". It matches the Rfam family "tRNA". Rfam says of the family: Transfer RNA (tRNA) molecules are approximately 80 nucleotides in length. Their secondary structure includes four short double-helical elements and three loops (D, anti-codon, and T loops). Further hydrogen bonds mediate the characteristic L-shaped molecular structure. tRNAs have two regions of fundamental functional importance: the anti-codon, which is responsible for specific mRNA codon recognition, and the 3' end, to which the tRNAs corresponding amino acid is attached (by aminoacyl-tRNA synthetases). tRNAs cope with the degeneracy of the genetic code in two manners: having more than one tRNA (with a specific anti-codon) for a particular amino acid; and 'wobble' base-pairing, i.e. permitting non-standard base-pairing at the 3rd anti-codon position. The record is from RNAcentral. Lineage: Archaea; Methanobacteriati; Thermoplasmatota; Candidatus Poseidoniia; Candidatus Poseidoniales.